RNAcentral lists this ribosomal RNA (934 nucleotides) under uncultured marine bacterium. RNAcentral's name for it is "bacterial SSU rRNA". It matches the Rfam family "Bacterial small subunit ribosomal RNA", at positions 68 to 995 of the family's 1533-position model. The record is from RNAcentral.
GAACACCGGAGCUUGCUCUGGUGGGAUUAGUGGCGAACGGGUGAGUAACACGUGAGCAAUCUGCCCCCGACUCUGGGAUAACCCCGAGAAAUCGGAGCUAAUACCGGAUACGACACCUCCUGGCAUCAGGUGGGUGUGGAAGGAAUUUCGGUUGGGGAUGAGCUCGCGGCCUAUCAGCUUGUUGGUGAGGUAAUGGCUCACCAAGGCGACGACGGGUAGCCGGCCUGAGAGGGUGACCGGCCACACUGGGACUGAGACACGGCCCAGACACCUACGGGUGGCUGCAGUCGAGAAUCUUCGGCAAUGGACGAAAGUCUGACCGAGCGACGCCGCGUGCGGGAUGAAGGCCCUCGGGUUGUAAACCGCUGUCAGUAGUUAGGAAGUCCAUGAGGAUUAUCUCUCAUGGUUGACCGAUCUUCAGAGGAAGGACGGGCUAAGUUCGUGCCAGCAGCCGCGGUAAGACGAACCGUCCAAACGUUAUUCGGUAUCACUGGGCUUAAAGCGUGCGUAGGCGGCUUGGUAGGUGAGAUGUGAAAGCCCACGGCUCAACCAUGGAAUUGCGUUUCAAACCCCCAAGCUCGAGGAAGAUAGGGGUGAUGGGAACUUAUGGUGGAGCGGGAAAUGCGUUGAUAUCAUAGGGAACACCGGUGGCGAAAGCGCAUCACUGGAUCUUUUCUGACGCUGAGGCACGAAAGCUAGGGUAGCGAACGGGAUUAGAUACCCCGGUAGUCCUAGCCGUAAACGAUGAACACUGGGUUGAGGGGACUUCAACAUCCUCUCGGCCGUAGCGAAAGCGUUAAGUGUUCCGCCUGGGGAGUAUGGUCGCAAGGCUGAAACUCAAAGGAAUUGACGGGGGCUCACACAAGCGGUGGAGGAUGUGGCUUAAUUCGAUGCUACGCGAAGAACCUUAUCCCUAGAUUUGACAUGCUUGAGA